UUGAACGCUGGCGGCAUGCCUUACACAUGCAAGUCGAACGGUAGAGGGGCAACCCUUGAGAGUGGCGAACGGGUGAGUAAUAUAUCGGAACGUGCCCAGUCGUGGGGGAUAACGCAGCGAAAGCUGCGCUAAUACCGCAUACGAUCUAUGGAUGAAAGCGGGGGAUCGCAAGGCCUCGCGCGAUUGGAGCGGCCGAUAUCAGAUUAGGUAGUUGGUGGGGUAAAAGCCCCACC
This 233-nucleotide ribosomal RNA is filed under the name uncultured bacterium. RNAcentral's name for it is "partial 16S ribosomal RNA". It matches the Rfam family "Bacterial small subunit ribosomal RNA", at positions 30 to 269 of the family's 1533-position model. The record is from RNAcentral.